UCCAGAGCUAAACAGCAACCGGGUUGUCUCUGUUUGCGAACCCAGACGAUGUUCUGGUUUGGAACAUUGUUGUGCCAAACUCCAACACAGCGGUUUAUCGAGUUUCCUGGGCUGAAGAACCCAAGUGUAAAUCUUUCUCCGGCGGACACAAAAACGGCGCCGUCAUGGUGUCGGAGAAUGUGCCACUCAGAAGAAAAGAUGAGUAAUUUGAUGGGACUUGAUGAAGCUGCAGAGCCCAAUGCCCAUUAGGGAAGGUUUCUUAGGAAAAGGAAGAGAUGUUUCAUUACUCAACAUGAAAACAACUUCCGACAUGGUAGGCCGAUCUGUUACACAUUCUUGGAUGCAGAGUAGCGCAAUCUGGAUGCAUCUUGAGACUUCAUCACUAGGAUAUGACUGAAGCAGUGAUGGAUUGACUAUCCCUAGUGCUUGCCCCUCUCUCCACAAAUCCCAAAUCUGAUGCAAUUCAGAAAGCCGUUUUAGACCAAACAUUCAGAAGUACAGCAUUGGGAUAUGUAGCUACCUUAUAGACUGAGCCAAAACCACCUUCGCCAAGCUUGUUACUAAUGGAAAAGUUGUCUGUGGCAACAACUAUGCUGUUUAGGUCAAAAAAUGCCAGGUCUUGGUUCAUCUCCCCAUCAUGCCAGGUCAGUGGAAUUUUACUGUCAUCAUGCUUCAUUUGCCUGAAUUGCCUCAGAGAUCCUUUAAAACAUAGAUUGAAGUAACUUUCUAUCAGUAACCAUUUCUUGGCUGCCCUUUUACACACUAUGCAGUCUAUGCUUCAUAGAUUAUCAUAGGAGUUAUUAAUUACUAUAAUCUGAAAUAAAAUACAUAUCUUGAAGGAGUAGUUUUCUUACUUUUU
Molecule: RNA transcript, 859 nt
Organism: Fragaria vesca subsp. vesca
Lineage: Eukaryota; Viridiplantae; Streptophyta; Magnoliopsida; Rosales; Rosaceae
Exons: 3
Source: RefSeq, a predicted model, not a curated record